GUCACUCUACCGGAGGGGGCCAAUAAAGCGAGCAGCACUUCAGAAAGAGAAGAGCCUUUAACAAAGCAUAUAUAAUGCAAUUCAAUUAAACAGAGCGUGACAAGCUUUGUUAGAAAGGGGGGCGGGAGCACACUGCAAAAUAAAAUGAGAGUUAACUAUCCGGAUUAAGUUUAAAGCAGCCACAACAAUGAAACUGCAGAGCGCACCAGGGAGCGACUCCUUCCGAAAGAAGUACAGACGAAUACAGAACAGGCAGGUAGCAAGGAGCCCUAUAGAGCAUGCUACUGGUGCAGUGUAAUAACAGGAAGAAUUUGCAAUCUCAAAAAUAAGAUCUUGUCGCACAGUGAGCGGGGCCUGUUAUCAUUUAGUGGGCUGUGCAGAAAUACUGCUGUUGAAUGGUAAGGGAUAGAGAGGCUGCAAUAACCAAAAAUAGAGCAAUAAUAAAGUCGACCAAAAGAGACUUUUACAAUGUUAUCUGUAGCAGUUUAUUCUCACUUGCUGCCCAGCUCGGAGCAAUAACUACUUCUGUUGCCUUGGCAGUUCAGGGUGAGCAUACAAUGACCCAGAGGCCUCAACUCGUGGGCAGGGCAGCCAUGCAUUGUGACCUUCGUAGUAGAAUCAUAGAACUGUAGAAUUGGAAGGGACCAAAGGGUCAUCUAGUCCAACCCCCUGCAAUGCAGGAAUCUUUUGCCCAACAUGGGGCUCAAACUCUCAACCCUGACAUUAAGAGUUUUAUGCUGUACCGACUGAACUAUACCUAGUAACUAAACUAGGUUGUGUGAAGUAGUUACCAUGGGGGAAAUUACUGACAGCGUGAUAUCUGAACAACAACAACAAAUGUAGCCAUUCAAUUCUGAAAUGUAUGUGUAUACAUUGGCAUGCAUAAAGUAUGAUAUACACUUUACCAUGCAUUCCAGUUGAGUUUGAUGUUUAGCAGAUAUUUACAUUCAAUGCAAAGGAAAAUAAAGGAAGAAGCAGUAAGGAGAUGUCAUCUGUUUUUCAUGUGAGUGUGAUAACAAAACACCUAAGGACCUGAAAACAAAAUGAAUGCUGAUUUAAUAAAGGUUUGUACACUUAGCUGUUGAAGAGUUGCUAAGGGACUAACUGGGCAAUGUAAACAUACCAGCAGGCUCAUUUGUUGCAUAUCCUUGGUGUACUAAAGGAAUUGAUGAUUAAAUUUACUGAGCUUCUGGCAGCUACUGUGUUUGGAAGUAGGACAGGUACAGCCCAGAACUUCAGAGGGACAAUGUGUUCCUACCUUGCCUGCAAUAACAAAUACCUAGCAAUAUAUUUUGCAUUAACUCAUGGAACCCUUUGAAAAUGUGCUGUUCAUGUGCAGAAAUAUCAUUAUCCUCAUUCUUCAUUUUCAGCUGCAAGAAGAAACCAAUUACGGCCAGCAUCACCAUAACACUUCCAUGCUUCUUCAAAUUGCUCAGGGUUUAGAGGGGCAGCAGGUGGCAGAAGCUGGUAAAAAAGAAGAAGAGAGUAACAAAUCCGCAAUGAUCCUGACAGCAAAGAGAGCCUCUUAAGUGCUAUUUCCGUAUUACAUUUGGCAAGUGAAAUUUGGCCUGCAUGCUGUGAUUAUUGUCCAAACUCUUGCAAAAUAUGUCAGGCUGAAAAACGGAAAGUGAUUUUGACUACUAUGCAAGUCAGUGGCCUUAUCCCAGGGCCAUAACCCUGAGUACUUAACCACUUCUGGACAUGAGUGUUCUGUUUCCCAGCAUGCCCAGCAGUGUCUGCUGUCUGAGUUUUGUGGUCCACAAAACGGGGUUUUACCUUGCGCUGGGAUGUCAUCUGUGUAUGCAAAUGGUAUGUAUGCAAAUGGUAUGUGGACACUCGGUUAUUCUCAUGUGACGUUGUGUCCAAAUUUCAUUGGCAUUGGUCAAGCGGUUUUGGUGAGAGGUUGAGACCAACACACACGCCCCCU
Molecule: long non-coding RNA, 1927 nt
Organism: Zootoca vivipara (common lizard)
Lineage: Eukaryota; Metazoa; Chordata; Lepidosauria; Squamata; Lacertidae
Source: RefSeq, a predicted model, not a curated record